Syngnathus acus (greater pipefish) is the source of this 645-nucleotide long non-coding RNA. RefSeq lists it as uncharacterized. The record is from RefSeq and is a predicted model, not a curated record. Lineage: Eukaryota; Metazoa; Chordata; Actinopteri; Syngnathiformes; Syngnathidae. The transcript has 3 exons.
AACCCAAUUUUUUUUGUAAGAAUAUAUUCUGUGCAAUCCAAAUCUAAUCCAAACACAGUGUUCUGAUUAAUAUGAAUAAUAGUUGUUGUUUUUUAAACUGUUUCAAAAUGUACACGUUUCUUAUUCGAUUCCUGUUUUAUUUUGAAAUGAUUACAGGAAAGUCGGUGAUGCUCAUUUUAUUUUGAACUUUGAAAGAGGAAGUGAUGCUUGUGGAAAAUAAAGUGGUCACACCUGAGAUGAGCACAGUGUUGCAUAAACUGCUGGAGACCUUUGCCAACAUUUGACUCUCAAUUGGACAAUGAAGACUUCCAAGCAUGCUUACUUUAUUAGCGGCGUUGUCGCUAACACACCUGUCACGAGACAAACUGAAUUCCAAAUAACUGAUGACUAAAUGGAGGCAGAAUUCCUCAUCAUUCCAUCACAACUUGGAUUUAAGUUCUGUUGGCUGACAUUACUGACAUGCCCAAAGGUUCCCCAGAGGCCGCAUGCCAAAAGCAACGUUUCCCUCCGCGGAGGCACUUAAUGUGGAUUUGGUGUCCCUCAACAAUUUUGAGCUGUAUGCCAACACAAAUGUUUCCAGAGCAACAAAGACAUUAUUGCCUCCUGGUGUGCCCCCCCCCACCCACACACACACACACACUGAUU